AUUUGAGAUAUUUUGGUCUAAAGUUUGGAAUUCACUUUAAAUCCCCCAACAUUGACACUUUAGUAAAGAAGUUUGUGAAUUGUCUUUGUUUCUCCAACCUUGACAUAAUAAAGUGGUAAUGUAUGCGCCCUCUUUUUUUAAAACAGACGAUGCAGUCACAGGAAGCCCCUGGAGUCCAGUAUAGUCGGUGGAAUGACCAAAACCAAGAUGAAGUGAGUGUGACCACAUCUUCCUCUGAGGCCCCAACAUGGAGAAGGUAAAGUUACCGAGCAAAGGCUUGAUUUAAUUAUGAAAUCAAAGAUAUUUUAAAUAGUUCCUGUUUGUUUGUUUGUUUGUUUGUUUAUAGAAAAUCACAGCAAUAGCUCUACCUGCACCUAUCAGAGAACAGAAAGCAUAAAUGGCAAUUUGUACAUUUGAAUAAAUUAUUAUGCAAAAUACAGAUUAAGGAGCAGUGCUGAAUCUGUAUCUUGUGUAAAUUAUGGUCUUUACAGCAAUACCACUGUUGAGAAAUGUAUAUUCCGGGUGUGCCCUAAAUUCCCCUUUGUUCUUUGUGUUAUUAUACUCCGAGCAGGACAGACCACAGACCAACCUGAAAAGGAAACUUUAGUCACCUAAACAACUUUAGCUUAAUGAAGCAAUUCUGGUGUAUAGAUCUCUACAGUCUCACUGAUCAAUUCUCUGCUAUUUACGAAUUAAAUCACUUUGUUCAUCCAGACCUGUUCACACGUCCAUGUUUCUGACUUACACAGUCUUCCUAAACACUUCCUGUAAAGAGUCAUCUAAUGUUUAUUCUUCCUUUAUUGUAAAUUCUGUUUCAUUUAGAAUUUCUUAUCCCCUGCUCUGUUAAUAAUUUGCCAGACCCAGCAGGAGCCUCCUGUGUGUGAUUAAAGUUCAAUUUACAGAGCAGGAGAUAAAAGAACUUAAACUAAGUUACAUCUGAUGAAAUGAAGCCGUUUUUUGUCAUUCAGGCUGUGUCAGUCACAGCCAGGGGAGGUGUGACUGGGGCUGCAUAAACAGAAACAAAAGUGAUUUAACUCCUAAAUGGCAGUGAAUUGAGCAGUGAAACUUCAGAGGCAUGAUCUAUACACAAAAACUGCUUCAUUAAGCUAAAGUUGUUUUGGUGACUAUAGUGUCCCUUUAAAAUACCAGAAGUGUCUAGAGUGCUAAACAAUAUUACCGACUUAAAACAAGCAAACAAAUUUGAAUGCUGCACAAACUAAAAGUUUAUAAAACAAGGUGACAAGUUCAACUCAUUAUUUUUGUUUUAUUUUUAGGGUCUGGAACAUGCUGUGUACGGGCAAGAUUGGCAUUGUAGUGAAAGUGAUAGGGGGAUUGGCAUUCUUUUGGAUUGUUUUUAUCAUUGGAUAUGUCACCGGUUACUAUGUCCAUAAAUGCAAACAGCAGUGACAUGCCUAUCAGAUUUUUUUUGUAUGAACUAUUUCCUCAAACUGAAAGCCCUGGACUAUCACAGAAGAAUGAAACUUCUAAUAAGGAAACUCUUAUGGAACAACAACCUGCAGAACAACUAGAAACAAUAUAAAGGGUGGAACAGAAAAGAAAACCACAGAUACUUUAUAAAUUCAAAUACAUGUGAAUGUCAAUCAAUGUAAGAUGACUCCAACAUAAUAUUCAGACUAUUACACAUAAAACCAGGCGUGUUUUGUACAUAACAAGUGUUAUGAAACUACAGAUUGAUAUUGAUAUUCUGUUUGUCAAAUGGUACAUGUUUCCAAUUCUAUCAUUUAAUGUAUUUUAAAUCAAAUUUCUCAGAAUUUGAUACAUGAAUUGAUCUUGAUAACUAGGGACUUUAAUGACAAUUUAAAGUCAAAAUCAUAAAUUUGGUAGGCAAAUGUUGACAUCAAAAAUAUUUCAUUGGGGAACGGUAAGAAUGACUGAAUUAAAAUAAAACUUAUGAGUUAAUAAUUAAGUAAAAAUCUAUGCAUAUAGAUUAAUAAUAAUAAUAUAAUAAAGAUAUGCGGCCCACAAACAAUAGACUAAAAAGAGUUAUUUUUAUUUAAAAUGUAUUCGUAAACAAAAAGAGAAAUUAUAAUAAUAUAUAGCAUACAUAGUGAAUACAAUAAGAUAUAUAAUAGCAAAUAAACAUUCUCCCUACGCUUUAUAUUGUAUAAGAUUUAUUGAUGUUUAACUCUUUAAGAAUGACCUGCAAAAUAGAUCCAGAUCUGAAAUCCUACUGAUAUUUCAGUGGAAAUGUUCUUUGUUAAAAGGUUUUUUUGGGGAAAGACUUAUUGACGUCACAUUCAAAAUAGAGCAUGGUGGGGUGGAGUCGUGCACCUGUGCAGUGAAGUCAGAAAUGGUGGUGGAAAAUGUGGAGUGAUAACAGACAGACCUAUAAAUUCAUUGAAAACAGGAAAACGAAUCAGCCUCUAAGAAAGUCUGAUGUAGUGAAUGAAACAUAAAGUUUUUAAGCAAGGCUACAAACAAGUCGACAUGUGGAAGAGGUUCCUUGUGGGUGCCCAUUUGCCUUGACCACAAACAUCUAGAGAAAUCCAGAGGAACUUUAAAAGGACAUAGUGUCUUCAGUGGAUUCGAGAUGUAUAAACGAGGUGGAGUUUGGGUGGAACUACCGAGCAACUGUGACAACAGCUCUUUUGUGCAGUUAUGUUAUUUUGCAAGUUGCCUUGUCUGAAAAGGGUUUAUUAAAUUUGUAUGCUAAGUUGCGAUGAUAAAAUCUUUUUUUUUUUGUUUUAACUUACAUGUUUUUAUACAAACAAUUAGAUAACUAUUCACUCGGUGUAUACCAUAUGUAAUGUGUACAUACUACACUUUCCAAUCUAAUGCCCCUGUUUCCACUUAUAUUUGUGUUCUAUACACUAAUCAAAGAUGUGAGUAAGGGGGUGACAUUUGAAUCAUGUAUUACCUGGGCUUAUUUCAAUUUUAUAAAUUUUAAAUGCCUUGUUGUUCAUCAAUCGACAUGAAGGCAAAUUACGGUGUCAUGGAAAGAUCAUUGUAAAUUUGCAACAUGUGAUGCUGUGAUGCAUGGGUCAACGAAUCACCUGGAAUUUUUUUAUAAUGGUUCUAUCUAGAAUAUUGUUCUUUAGUUCAGUGAAACAGAAGUUGAAAUGUGCACUGCCAUGCAUGAAUGGUUUAUUAACCAUUAAGGACACUAGAGGGAAAUCAAGAUUCGAGACCACUUUGAUGCCCCUGAGCCUUCAUAGCUUGCCACCACCGAGGGAACAAUGAAUUCAAAAUCGUAUGUAAGAAAUUUUACACAAGUAUAAAAAUGUAGGAGCUGGUCAUGUGAAGCUUUGUAGACAGUAGGAGAGAUUUACCAAAGUGAAAAGUGAAGCAAAAUGGUAAAAGUGGAAUAGUCAUUAAUAAAAUACUGUGUUUCAAUCGAUUGCAUUGGUUUCCAUGGUGACCGCCUCACCUUUGGUACUUUGCCCCUACUUUACAGAGCACAGUACUUUGAUAAAUCUCUCCAGUGACUGAAAACACUGGAGUAAAUCAACAACAGAAUGGCUCUCACAGAAGAGUUAAGGGUCGGGACUUUUCACAAAAUAAUUGAAUUAACAUUACAUCCUCAGCUCCUGUGAGAGGAAGUUGACUGCUGUUCAUCAUUCUUGUACUCUCAUGUAUGGACAAGAGUACAAAACAGAGGUUUAUGGAAGAUCAUGUAACAGAUCUGCUCUUUCAUGGGCAAUGGGAUGUUAUUCUCAUCUAUUGAGCAUCUAAUGAGAUACUGGAGCUGAAGUUAAGAAAGUGCUACUAAGAAGGUUUCUUAAAGCCACAAAAUGCAUAUGCGUAACCCUCUAUCUGGUCCUCUACCUCUCCCUAUUUGCUGCUGUGUUGUACUUCAUUUAAACUAUAAGAG
This 3832-nucleotide long non-coding RNA is filed under the name Pelobates cultripes (western spadefoot toad). Lineage: Eukaryota; Metazoa; Chordata; Amphibia; Anura; Pelobatidae. The record is from RNAcentral.